UCCUCGCCCCCGGGGUCCAGUUUUCCCAGGAAUCCCUUGGGCAAUCAACAACGGGGAUUCCUGGAAAUACUGUUCUUGGGGGUGUGGC
This 88-nucleotide microRNA precursor is filed under the name Salmo salar (Atlantic salmon). RNAcentral's name for it is "mir-145 microRNA precursor family". It matches the Rfam family "mir-145 microRNA precursor family". The record is from Rfam by way of RNAcentral. Lineage: Eukaryota; Metazoa; Chordata; Actinopteri; Salmoniformes; Salmonidae. RNAcentral also lists the same sequence under 1 other name.